GAAUCAACGCUGGCGGCGCGCCUAACACAUGCAAGUCGAACGAGAAAGCGGGGGCAACCUCGUGAGUAAAGUGGCGUACGGGUGAGUAACACGUGGGUAAUCUACCCUGAGGUGUGGAAUAACCCUGGGAAACUGGGGAUAAUACCGCAUAAUCCCGAGAGGGCAAAGGAGCAAUCCGCCUUAGGAGGAGCCCGCGGCCGAUUAGCUAGUUGGUGGGGUAAGAGCUCACCAAGGCAAAGAUCGGUAGCCGGCCUGAGAGGGCACACGGCCACACUGGCACUGAAACACGGGCCAGACUCCUACGGGAGGCAGCAGUGGGGAAUCUUGCACAAUGGGGGAAACCCUGAUGCAGCGACGCCGCGUGAGCGAUGAAGCCCUUCGGGGCGUAAAGCUCUUUCGGCAGGGACGAAACAUGACGGUACCUGCAGAAGCAGCUGCGGCUAACUACGUGCCAGCAGCCGCGGUAAUACGUAGGCAGCAAGCGUUGUUCGGAGUUACUGGGCGUAAAGGGUGCGUAGGCGGUCCCUUAAGUUCGGUGUGAAAUCUCCCGGCUCAACUGGGAGGGUGCGCCGGAAACUAAGGGACUCGAGUGCGGGAGGGGAGAGCGGAAUUCCUGGUGUAGCGGUGAAAUGCGUAGAUAUCAGGAGGAACACCGGUGGUGCAGACGGCUCUCUGGACCGUAACUGACGCUGAGGCACGAAAGCGUGGGUAGCAAACAGGAUUAGAUACCCUGGUAGUCCACGCCCUAAACGAUGCAUGCUUGGUGCUGGUGAUUCAGUUCAUCGGUGCCGGAGCUAACGCGUUAAGCAUGCCGCCUGGGGAGUACAGUCGCAAGGCUGAAACUCAAAGGAAUUGACGGGGGCCCGCACAAGUGGUGGAGCAUGUGGUUUAAUUCGACACUAAGCGAAACACCUCACCAAGGUUUGAAAUCUAGCUGCAUAGCCCAGAAAUGGGAAGUCCUUCGAGGGUGCUAGACCAGGUGCUGCAUGGUCGUCGUCAGCUCGUGUCGUAAGAUGUCCCGUUAAGUCGGGAAACGAGCGCAACCCCUGUGAACUGUUAUACAUGUCAGUUCAGACUGCCCAGCCGAAUGGUCAUCUCGCAAAAGCGAGGUGGGUAUCCGGCUGGGAGGAAGGAGGGGAUGACGUCAGAUCAGCAUGGCCCUUUGACACCUUGGGCGACACACGUGCUACAAUGGCCGAUUAAUAAAGGGUCGCCAACCCGCGAGGGGGAGCCAAUCCCAAAAACUCGGCCCCAGUUCGGAUUGCAGGCUGCAACUCGCCUGCAUGAAGUUGGAAUCACUAGUAAUCGUAGAUCAGACACGCUACGGUGAAUGCGUUCUCGGAUCU
RNAcentral lists this ribosomal RNA (1346 nucleotides) under uncultured bacterium. Its description in RNAcentral is "bacterial SSU rRNA". It matches the Rfam family "Bacterial small subunit ribosomal RNA", at positions 27 to 1381 of the family's 1533-position model. The record is from RNAcentral.